RNAcentral lists this long non-coding RNA (366 nucleotides) under Vigna radiata. RNAcentral's name for it is "long non-coding RNA (VRAD_LNC006765)". Lineage: Eukaryota; Viridiplantae; Streptophyta; Magnoliopsida; Fabales; Fabaceae. The record is from RNAcentral.
AACCAUUGCAUCAGAUAUAGUGUCCAACCAAGUACAUCAAUACCUAUUCUAAAAACAGAAGCAAAUAUAACAUAUUUAAAAAGAUAAGUUUAGAAAACUGGGUUGCCUCCCAGGUAGCGCUUGUUUAACGUCACGAGCCUGACCCAAACCUUUCUAGCACCCAUCAGUAGGUGCAAAACUUACCGUCACCCAUCAGUAGGUGUACCUUCCCGUAUCCUUCAGUAGAUACCUAAAUCUUCUAGCAUCCCUCAGUAGAUUUUAUCCCAGUGGCAUUCAUCAGUAAAUGUUGUUAGUGACAUCCAUCAGUAGAUGUCUAACCAUAUAGCAUCCAUCAGUAGAUGCUAAUCUUUCUUAUCUUCAUUGGCA